This 886-nucleotide ribosomal RNA is filed under the name uncultured bacterium. RNAcentral's name for it is "bacterial SSU rRNA". It matches the Rfam family "Bacterial small subunit ribosomal RNA", at positions 18 to 916 of the family's 1533-position model. The record is from RNAcentral.
CCUGGCUCAGGAUGAACGCUGGCGGCGCGCCUAACACAUGCAAGUCGAACGGAGCUUAGAGAGCUUGCUUUUUAAGCUUAGUGGCGAACGGGUGAGUAACGCGUGAGUAACCUGCCCUAGAGUGGGGGACAACAGUUGGAAACGACUGCUAAUACCGCAUAAUGUGUUUUGGGGGCAUCCCCGGAACACCAAAGAUUUAUUGCUGAAAGAUGGUCUCGCGUCUGAUUAGAUAGUUGGUGGGGUAACGGCCUACCAAGUCGACGAUCAGUAGCCGGACUGAGAGGUUGAACGGCCACAUUGGGACUGAGAUACGGCCCAGACUCCUACGGGAGGCAGCAGUGGGGAAUAUUGGGCAAUGGGGGAAACCCUGACCCAGCAACGCCGCGUGAAGGAAGAAGGCUUUCGGGUUGUAAACUUCUUUUACCAGGGACGAAGGACGUGACGGUACCUGGAGAAAAAGCCACGGCUAACUACGUGCCAGCAGCCGCGGUAAUACGUAGGUGGCAAGCGUUGUCCGGAAUUACUGGGUGUAAAGGGAGCGCAGGCGGGAAGACAAGUUGGAAGUGAAAUCUAUGGGCUCAACCCAUAAACUGCUUUCAAAACUGUUUUUCUUGAGUAGUGCAGAGGUAGGCGGAAUUCCCGGUGUAGCGGUGGAAUGCGUAGAUAUCGGGAGGAACACCAGUGGCGAAGGCGGCCUACUGGGCACCAACUGACGCUGAGGCUCGAAAGUGUGGGUAGCAAACAGGAUUAGAUACCCUGGUAGUCCACACCGUAAACGAUGAUUACUAGGUGUUGGAGGAUUGACCCCUUCAGUGCCGCAGUUAACACAAUAAGUAAUCCACCUGGGGAGUACGACCGCMAGGUUGAAACUCAAAGAAAUUGACGG